GGGGCUGUGGCGGAACUGGCAGACGCACCAGAUUUAGGUUCUGGCACUCGCAAGGGUGUGUGGGUUCGACUCCCACCAGCCCCACCA
Molecule: transfer RNA, 87 nt
Filed under: Acidobacteriota bacterium
Lineage: Bacteria; Pseudomonadati; Acidobacteriota
Description: tRNA-Leu
Rfam family: tRNA
About the family: Transfer RNA (tRNA) molecules are approximately 80 nucleotides in length. Their secondary structure includes four short double-helical elements and three loops (D, anti-codon, and T loops). Further hydrogen bonds mediate the characteristic L-shaped molecular structure. tRNAs have two regions of fundamental functional importance: the anti-codon, which is responsible for specific mRNA codon recognition, and the 3' end, to which the tRNAs corresponding amino acid is attached (by aminoacyl-tRNA synthetases). tRNAs cope with the degeneracy of the genetic code in two manners: having more than one tRNA (with a specific anti-codon) for a particular amino acid; and 'wobble' base-pairing, i.e. permitting non-standard base-pairing at the 3rd anti-codon position.
Source: RNAcentral